Molecule: ribosomal RNA, 254 nt
Filed under: uncultured bacterium
Lineage: Bacteria
Description: partial 16S ribosomal RNA
Rfam family: Bacterial small subunit ribosomal RNA
Source: RNAcentral
UACGUAGGUGGCAAGCGUUGUUCGGAAUUAUUGGGCGUAAAGGGCGCGUAGGCGGUUUGCUAAGUCAGUUGUGAAAACUCCAGGCUCAACCUGGAGACGCCACGUGAUACUGGCGUGACUAGAGUUCGGUAGGGGAUCACGGAAUUCCUGGUGUAGCGGUGAAAUGCGCAGAUAUCAGGAGGAACACCGGUGGCGAAGGCGGUGAUCUGGGCCGACACUGACGCUGUAGAGCGAAAGCGUGGGGAGCGAACAGG